GAGGUCCCGCCUGCCCAGUGAUCUAUUUCAACGGCCGCGGUAUUAUGACCGUGCAAAGGUAGCGUAAUCACUUGUCUUUUAAAUAAAGACCUGUAUGAAUGGCAAAACGAAAGUUCAACUGUCUCUUUAAUCCUAUCAAUAAAAUUAAUUUUUCCGUGCAGAAGCGGAAAUAAAUUUAUAAGACGAGAAGACCCUAUGGAGCUUAAAACAUAAAAUUAAUUAUAUUUAUAUAUUAACCGACAGGUAAAAGAUAAAUUUGUAUAAUAUAAUUUAAGUUUUGGGUUGGGGCGACCACGGAAGAAAAGAAAUCCUCCGAGAUAAACAAUUUAGAAAUACAUUUCGAAAACUAAGACAUUUAUUAUAAAUGAUCCACUUAAGUGACCAAC
This 386-nucleotide ribosomal RNA is filed under the name Salamandra salamandra gallaica (Portugese fire salamander). RNAcentral describes it as "partial 16S ribosomal RNA". It matches the Rfam family "Archaeal large subunit ribosomal RNA", at positions 1941 to 2494 of the family's 2987-position model. The record is from RNAcentral. Lineage: Eukaryota; Metazoa; Chordata; Amphibia; Caudata; Salamandridae.